GAUGAACGCUGGCGGCGUGCCUAAUACAUGCAAGUCGAACGAGUUCUCGUUGAUGAUCGGUGCUUGCACCGAGAUUCAACAUAGAACGAGUGGCGGACGGGUGAGUAACACGUGGGUAACCUGCCCUUAAGUGGGGGAUAACAUUUGGAAACAGAUGCUAAUACCGCAUAGAUCCAAGAGCCGCAUGGUUCUUGGCUGAAAGAUGGCGUAAGCUAUCGCUUUUGGAUGGACCCGCGGCGUAUUAGCUAGUUGGUGAGGUAAUGGCUCACCAAGGCGAUGAUACGUAGCCGAACUGAGAGGUUGAUCGGCCACAUUGGGACUGAGACACGGCCCAAACUCCUACGGGAGGCAGCAGUAGGGAAUCUUCCACAAUGGACGCAAGUCUGAUGGAGCAACGCCGCGUGAGUGAAGAAGGCUUUCGGGUCGUAAAACUCUGUUGUUGGAGAAGAAUGGUCGGCAGAGUAACUGUUGUCGGCGUGACGGUAUCCAACCAGAAAGCCACGGCUAACUACGUGCCAGCAGCCGCGGUAAUACGUAGGUGGCAAGCGUUAUCCGGAUUUAUUGGGCGUAAAGCGAGCGCAGGCGGUUUUUUAAGUCUGAUGUGAAAGCCCUCGGCUUAACCGAGGAAGGGCAUCGGAAACUGGGAAACUUGAGUGCAGAAGAGGACAGUGGAACUCCAUGUGUAGCGGUGAAAUGCGUAGAUAUAUGGAAGAACACCAGUGGCGAAGGCGGCUGUCUGGUCUGUAACUGACGCUGAGGCUCGAAAGCAUGGGUAGCGAACAGGAUUAGAUACCCUGGUAGUCCAUGCCGUAAACGAUGAAUGCUAGGUGUUGGAGGGUUUCCGCCCUUCAGUGCCGCAGCUAACGCAUUAAGCAUUCCGCCUGGGGAGUACGACCGCAAGGUUGAAACUCAAAGGAAUUGACGGGGGCCCGCACAAGCGGUGGAGCAUGUGGUUUAAUUCGAAGCAACGCGAAGAACCUUACCAGGUCUUGACAUCUUUUGAUCACCUGAGAGAUCAGGUUUCCCCUUCGGGGGCAAAAUGACAGGUGGUGCAUGGUUGUCGUCAGCUCGUGUCGUGAGAUGUUGGGUUAAGUCCCGCAACGAGCGCAACCCUUAUGACUAGUUGCCAGCAUUUAGUUGGGCACUCUAGUAAGACUGCCGGUGACAAACCGGAGGAAGGUGGGGAUGACGUCAAAUCAUCAUGCCCCUUAUGACCUGGGCUACACACGUGCUACAAUGGAUGGUACAACGAGUUGCGAGACCGCGAGGUCAAGCUAAUCUCUUAAAGCCAUUCUCAGUUCGGACUGUAGGCUGCAACUCGCCUACACGAAGUCGGAAUCGCUAGUAAUCGCGGAUCAGCACGCCGCGGUGAAUACGUUCCCGGGCCUUGUACACACCGCCCGUCACACCAUGAGAGUUUGUAACACCCGAAGCCGGUGGCGUAACCCUUUUAGGGAGCGAGCCGUCUAAGGUGGGACAAAUGAUUAGGGUG
This 1492-nucleotide ribosomal RNA is filed under the name Lacticaseibacillus paracasei. RNAcentral's name for it is "bacterial SSU rRNA". It matches the Rfam family "Bacterial small subunit ribosomal RNA". Lineage: Bacteria; Bacillati; Bacillota; Bacilli; Lactobacillales; Lactobacillaceae. The record is from RNAcentral.